GGGAAAAUAGCAUAAUGGUUAAUGUACUUCUUUGUCAAGGAAGGCUAUGGCGGUUCGAGUCCGCUUUUUCUCG
Molecule: transfer RNA, 73 nt
Filed under: Enterococcus sp.
Lineage: Bacteria; Bacillati; Bacillota; Bacilli; Lactobacillales; Enterococcaceae
Also listed under: 3 other names
Description: tRNA-Asp
Rfam family: tRNA
About the family: Transfer RNA (tRNA) molecules are approximately 80 nucleotides in length. Their secondary structure includes four short double-helical elements and three loops (D, anti-codon, and T loops).
Source: RNAcentral